RNAcentral lists this unclassified non-coding RNA (252 nucleotides) under Hevea brasiliensis (rubber tree). Lineage: Eukaryota; Viridiplantae; Streptophyta; Magnoliopsida; Malpighiales; Euphorbiaceae. The record is from RNAcentral.
UACACUUGCAAAAUGUAUUCAACAGACUAGUUUGAGGAUAUCUACAUCAUGCUAUUUUGAGUAAAUAACACAGACUUGUUUAGUAAUUUCAAAGGACCACCAUGCGUUGCAAGACAUGUCACAGUGAGAUAAAUAUCGAAUAAUUAGCUUGUCAAAUUUUGCAUAUAAAGCUAUCUUCAGAUGUAUGUAUAGUUUUGCACGUUCAAUAUCACUUACUUCACUAUUUAGAGCAGUAGUGGCAGUUCCGCGACU